This 226-nucleotide ribosomal RNA is filed under the name uncultured Geothermobacter sp. RNAcentral's name for it is "partial 16S ribosomal RNA". It matches the Rfam family "Bacterial small subunit ribosomal RNA", at positions 1155 to 1382 of the family's 1533-position model. Lineage: Bacteria; Pseudomonadati; Thermodesulfobacteriota; Desulfuromonadia; Desulfuromonadales; Geothermobacteraceae. The record is from RNAcentral.
GUCGAGUACCGGAGGAAGUGGGAUGACGUCAAGUCCUCAUGGCCCUUAUAUCCAGGGCUACACACGUGCUACAAUGGCCGGUACAAAGGGUCGCAAUACCGCGAGGUGGAGCUAAUCCCAAAAAGCCGGUCUCAGUUCGGAUUGGAGUCUGCAACUCGACUCCAUGAAGUCGGAAUCGCUAGUAAUCGCGUAUCAGCGUGACGCGGUGAAUACGUUCCCGGGCCUU